Long non-coding RNA from Olea europaea var. sylvestris, 568 nucleotides. RefSeq lists it as uncharacterized. NCBI's taxonomy places the organism in Eukaryota, Viridiplantae, Streptophyta, Magnoliopsida, Lamiales, Oleaceae. The record is from RefSeq and is a predicted model, not a curated record. The transcript is spliced from 2 exons.
GAUGUUUUAAAUUUUCCGAAUUUUUUUGGCAGGUCGAUCUAUUCUUCUACAGGGAGCCUGAGGAAGCUAAGGAACCAGAAGAAGAGGAAACACCUGCUCUUCCAGAUUAUGCUGAUUAUUCUGCAGCUACAAUUGUCGGUGAUUGGUCUAGCAGCCAGAUACCUGAUGCUCAAUGGGCUCCCGAGAUGACUGGUACUUUGCCACCUGUUGCAAGUGGUUGGACUGGAGAAGCCGUUGCAGAGGUAGCUACUGAUGGAUGGGACUCAGCUGCUGCACCCUCGGUGGCAGCUCCUGGAGUUGACGUAAUUCCUCCUGUUGCUCCAACUGGAUGGGACUAAAUGAAAGAAGAAAAAAAAAAAAAAUUCUUCAACUACUGGUUCCUUGAACAAUUUUGAUUUUAUAUUGCCCUCUUAAUGAGCUUGGACAUUGUUAGACUUCUGUUAUAAAUGGUUUUGUUAAAAUCUGAGUUUUUCAUUUUUCCUCUUUUUGUAGCCAGAAGAAACCCUUUCGUGGUUUGGUGUUAUUCGAUUUUUAUUCAAUACAUGGUUAGUUGAAUUUUACGGUUUGA